AGGUGCCUUGGAGCCGCUGCUCUCGCCUCCCUUCUCCACCUAGCGGCGGUGUUUCACACCCCGGAGUGGCUUUUUGGGGAUAAAGGCACAAAUCUUUGCCAGACCUCCCGCCAGGCCCCCUGGCCUGCCACGUGCUCCUUGCCGGCCUAGACUCACCCAGGCUGUGCCCUCUGCUCAGAACGACCUUUCCCCCCUUCCUCUCCCCCUCGCUUGCUCCGACUGUUCUUUGCAAUCCCGGCUGGGGUUGGGUUAAGGGCCUUCUGGGGCUUCUUCAUACCCUGUGCAUCUUCCUCCUACUGGCACCGACCACCCCACACUGGGCUGCCAUCUGCUUGUCUACACCCACUGACUUUUCAUCUCUGUAUCUCCCCAGUAAGCAGGAGUGGCUCACAGAAGGCACGUUAAUACCUGUGUGUUAAUAUAAACCAAGGAGCGGGACGAUAGCUAGGAAGUAACAUCCCUGGGCAUCAUCUGAGUACCAGGCCCCCUGCCAGGUACUUUAGAGGCUACUUGAUGUUCAGGCCCAUGGCAGCCCUGGGAGGGAGGCACAAAGGCUCUUUUGUUCC
This 566-nucleotide long non-coding RNA is filed under the name Homo sapiens (human). Its description in RNAcentral is "HSALNT0379104". The record is from RNAcentral. Lineage: Eukaryota; Metazoa; Chordata; Mammalia; Primates; Hominidae.